CGGACUACAGAGGCAGUCGCAGCCUCCCACAACCGCUGACAAGAUGGCGGACUCCACGGAAGUGACGGCAGCACCUUCCGGGGCCGAGCAGGCCAAUCCCCGUGGCGGAGCGUGGCGGCGCUGGGCGGGAGAAUGCCCCUCUGCCUCUGAUCCUUUUUGGUGGUGAUGCUGAAACCUUUACAGCUGCGAACCAGGAAGCCAUUUGCUCAAAAUGAGAUUUUCUUUCCUCAAGCAUGCCAGCUGGUCUUUAUACAGAACAGAGCCAAAACAAAACAAACACAUGCUUGAACAAGGAGGACUGCAAGGAACUAUAUAUAUAACAAUAAAAAAGUAAGAGGAUGGUGCUGUAUGCAAGA
Molecule: long non-coding RNA, 356 nt
Organism: Pezoporus flaviventris
Lineage: Eukaryota; Metazoa; Chordata; Aves; Psittaciformes; Psittacidae
Exons: 2
Source: RefSeq, a predicted model, not a curated record